RNAcentral lists this ribosomal RNA (826 nucleotides) under Staphylococcus aureus. RNAcentral describes it as "partial 23S ribosomal RNA". It matches the Rfam family "Bacterial large subunit ribosomal RNA", at positions 2011 to 2838 of the family's 2925-position model. The record is from RNAcentral. Lineage: Bacteria; Bacillati; Bacillota; Bacilli; Caryophanales; Staphylococcaceae.
GGGCACUGUCUCAACGAGAGACUCGGUGAAAUCAUAGUACCUGUGAAGAUGCAGGUUACCCGCGACAGGACGGAAAGACCCCGUGGAGCUUUACUGUAGCCUGAUAUUGAAAUUCGGCACAGCUUGUACAGGAUAGGUAGGAGCCUUUGAAACGUGAGCGCUAGCUUACGUGGAGGCGCUGGUGGGAUACUACCCUAGCUGUGUUGGCUUUCUAACCCGCACCACUUAUCGUGGUGGGAGACAGUGUCAGGCGGGCAGUUUGACUGGGGCGGUCGCCUCCUAAAAGGUAACGGAGGCGCUCAAAGGUUCCCUCAGAAUGGUUGGAAAUCAUUCAUAGAGUGUAAAGGCAUAAGGGAGCUUGACUGCGAGACCUACAAGUCGAGCAGGGUCGAAAGACGGACUUAGUGAUCCGGUGGUUCCGCAUGGAAGGGCCAUCGCUCAACGGAUAAAAGCUACCCCGGGGAUAACAGGCUUAUCUCCCCCAAGAGUUCACAUCGACGGGGAGGUUUGGCACCUCGAUGUCGGCUCAUCGCAUCCUGGGGCUGUAGUCGGUCCCAAGGGUUGGGCUGUUCGCCCAUUAAAGCGGUACGCGAGCUGGGUUCAGAACGUCGUGAGACAGUUCGGUCCCUAUCCGUCGUGGGCGUAGGAAAUUUGAGAGGAGCUGUCCUUAGUACGAGAGGACCGGGAUGGACAUACCUCUGGUGUACCAGUUGUCGUGCCAACGGCAUAGCUGGGUAGCUAUGUGUGGACGGGAUAAGUGCUGAAAGCAUCUAAGCAUGAAGCCCCCCUCAAGAUGAGAUUUCCCAACUUCGGUUAUAAGAUCCCU